UCGAGAAUCUUGCACAAUGCACGAAAGUGUGAUGCAGCGACGCCGCGUGGAGGAUGAAGGCCCUUGGGUCGUAAACUCCUUUUACUGGGGAAGAAUAAAUGACGGUACCCAGUGAAUAAGCCACGGCUAACUACGUGCCAGCAGCCGCGGUAAUACGUAGGUGGCAAGCGUUGUCCGGAUUUACUGGGUGUAAAGGGUGCGCAGGCGGAUCUUUAAGUAGAAAGUGAAAGGUUGGAGCUCAACUCCGACACUGCUUCCUAUACUGGGGGUCUUGAGUCUUGGAGGGGGAAGCGGAACGACACGUGUAGCGGUGAAAUGCGUUGAUAUGUGUCGGAACACCAAUGGCGAAAGCAGCUUCCUGGACAAGUACUGACGCUCAGGCACGAAAGCCAAGGUAGCAAACAG
Molecule: ribosomal RNA, 405 nt
Filed under: uncultured bacterium
Lineage: Bacteria
Description: bacterial SSU rRNA
Rfam family: Bacterial small subunit ribosomal RNA
Source: RNAcentral